This 253-nucleotide ribosomal RNA is filed under the name uncultured bacterium. RNAcentral's name for it is "partial 16S ribosomal RNA". It matches the Rfam family "Bacterial small subunit ribosomal RNA", at positions 524 to 776 of the family's 1533-position model. The record is from RNAcentral.
UACGAAGGGGGCUAGCGUUGCUCGGAAUCACUGGGCGUAAAGCGCACGUAGGCGGAUCUUUAAGUCGGGGGUGAAAUCCUGGAGCUCAACUCCAGAACUGCCUUCGAUACUGAGGACCUUGAGUCCGGGAGAGGUGAGUGGAACUGCGAGUGUAGAGGUGAAAUUCGUAGAUAUUCGCAAGAACACCAGUGGCGAAGGCGGCUCACUGGACCGGAACUGACGCUGAGGCGCGAAAGCGUGGGGAGCAAACAGG